This 731-nucleotide ribosomal RNA is filed under the name uncultured bacterium. RNAcentral describes it as "bacterial SSU rRNA". It matches the Rfam family "Bacterial small subunit ribosomal RNA", at positions 119 to 846 of the family's 1533-position model. The record is from RNAcentral.
ACGUAACCUACCUUUUCGCUAGAAAAAUAGCCUGAGGAAAACUUAGAUUAAUGUUCUAUCGUAUCACAGAAUCGCAUGACUCUUUUAUCAAAGUAGCAUACGGCCAAAAGACGGGCGUGCGUCCUAUUACUUAGUUGGUAAGGUAAAGGCUUACCAAGACAGUGAUCGGUAGGGGGCCUGAGAGGGUGAUCCACCACACUGGUACUGAGACACGGACCAGACUCCUACGGGAGGCAGCAGUGAGGAAUAUUGGUCAAUGGAGGAAACUCUGAACCAGACACGCCGCGUGCAGGAAGAAUACCUUACGGGUUGUAAACUGCUUUUGUUUAGGAAUAAAAAUUCUUACGUGAUAAGGAUUGUGAAUGUACUAUACGAAUAAGUGUCGGCAAACUCCGUGCCAGCAGCCGCGGUAAUACGGAGGACACGAGCGUUAUCCGGAUUUAUUGGGUUUAAAGGGUGCGUAGGCGGUUUAUUAAGUCAGUAGUGAAAUAUUGCAGCUUAACUGUUAAAAUGGCUAUUGAUACUGAUAGACUUGAGUGAGAUUGGAGUAGCUGGAAUGUGUGGUGUAGCGGUGAAAUGCAUAGAUAUCACACAGAACACCGAUCGCGAAAGCAGGUUACUAAGUCUAUACUGACGCUGAGGCACGAAAGCGUGGGGAGCAAACAGGAUUAGAUACCCUGGUAGUCCACGCCGUAAACGAUGAUCACUAGUUGUUGGAUUUAUUUCAGUGA